UAAAGAGCCGCGGUAUUUUGACCGUGCAAAGGUAGCAUAAUCAUUAGUCUCUUAAUUAGAGGCUGGAAUGAAUGGCUUGACGAGAAAUCAACUGUCUCUUAAUAAAUUUUAAAAUUUAACUUUUGAGUCAAAAGGCUUAAAUUUUUCUUUAGGACGAGAAGACCCUAUAGAGCUUAACAUUUUAUUUAUAUAUAAUUUUAAGAUAGUCUUUUUAUAUUUAAUGAUAUUGUUUUGUUGGGGUGACAUGAAGAAUAAAUAAACUCUUCAUUAUAAAACCAUUAAUUUAUGUUUUUUUUGAUCCAUAAUUUGUGAUCAUAAGAUUAAGUUACCUUAGGGAUAACAGCGUAAUUGUUUUUGAGAGCUCAUAUCGACAAAGCAGAUUGCGACCUCGAUGUUGGAUUAAGAAAAGUUUUGGGGUAGUA
Molecule: ribosomal RNA, 422 nt
Filed under: Dociostaurus brevicollis
Lineage: Eukaryota; Metazoa; Arthropoda; Insecta; Orthoptera; Acrididae
Description: partial large subunit ribosomal RNA
Rfam family: Archaeal large subunit ribosomal RNA
Source: RNAcentral